GCACAACGCGAAGAACCUUACCAGGCCUUGACAUGCAGAGAACUUUCCAGAGAUGGAUUGGUGCCUUCGGGAACUCUGACACAGGUGCUGCAUGGCUGUCGUCAGCUCGUGUCGUGAGAUGUUGGGUUAAGUCCCGUAACGAGCGCAACCCUUGUCCUUAGUUACCAGCACGUUAUGGUGGGCACUCUAAGGAGACUGCCGGUGACAAACCGGAGGAAGGUGGGGAUGACGUCAAGUCAUCAAGGCCCUUACGGCCUGGGCUACACACGUGCUACAAUGGUCGGUACAGAGGGUUGCCAAGCCGCGAGGUGGAGCUAAUCUCACAAAACCGAUCGUAGUCCGGAUCGCAGUCUGCAACUCGACUGCGUGAAGUCGGAAUCGCUAGUAAUCGCGAAUCAGAAUGUCGCGGUGAAUACGUUCCCGGGUCUUGUACACACCG
Molecule: ribosomal RNA, 439 nt
Filed under: uncultured bacterium
Lineage: Bacteria
Description: bacterial SSU rRNA
Rfam family: Bacterial small subunit ribosomal RNA
Source: RNAcentral